This 406-nucleotide ribosomal RNA is filed under the name uncultured bacterium. RNAcentral's name for it is "partial 16S ribosomal RNA". It matches the Rfam family "Bacterial small subunit ribosomal RNA", at positions 30 to 526 of the family's 1533-position model. The record is from RNAcentral.
AUUGAACGCUGGCGGCAGGCCUAACACAUGCAAGUCGAGCGAGCGGCGGACGGGAGAGUAAUGUAUGGGGCUCUGCCUGAGAGAGGGGGAUAACUACUGGACACGGUGGCUAAUACCGUAUACUAUCGGAUGAACCCAUAUGGGAUUGGCGAGUGGGUGGGGUAAAGGCUCACCUAGGCGACGAUCUCUAGCUGGUCUGAGAGGAUGAUCAGCCACACUGGAACUGAGACACGGCCCAGACUCCUACGGGAGGCAGCAGUGGGGAAUAUUGCACAAUGGGCGAAAGCCUGAUGCAGCCAUGCCGUGUGUAUGAAGAAGGCCUUCGGGUUGUAAAGUACUUUCAGCGGGGAGGCGUUACCCGCAGAAGAAGCACCGGCUAACUCCGUGCCAGCAGCCGCGGUAAUAC